GAUGAACGCUGGCGGCGUGCUUAACACAUGCAAGUCGAACGAAGCACUUUAUUUGAUUUCCUUCGGGACUGAUUAUUUUGUGACUGAGUGGCGGACGGGUGAGUAACGCGUGGGUAACCUGCCUUGUACAGGGGGAUAACAGUUGGAAACGGCUGCUAAUACCGCAUAAGCGCACGGCAUCGCAUGAUGCAGUGUGAAAAACUCCGGUGGUAUAAGAUGGACCCGCGUUGGAUUAGCUAGUUGGUGAGGUAACGGCCCACCAAGGCGACGAUCCAUAGCCGACCUGAGAGGGUGACCGGCCACAUUGGGACUGAGACACGGCCCAAACUCCUACGGGAGGCAGCAGUGGGGAAUAUUGCACAAUGGGCGAAAGCCUGAUGCAGCGACGCCGCGUGAGCGAAGAAGUAUUUCGGUAUGUAAAGCUCUAUCAGCAGGGAAGAUAAUGACGGUACCGGACUAAGAAGCACCGGCUAAAUACGG
Molecule: ribosomal RNA, 480 nt
Filed under: uncultured bacterium
Lineage: Bacteria
Description: partial 16S ribosomal RNA
Rfam family: Bacterial small subunit ribosomal RNA
Source: RNAcentral